AAAUUGAAGAGUUUGAUCAUGGCUCAGAUUGAACGCUGGCGGCAGGCCUAACACAUGCAAGUCGAACGGUAACAGGAAGCAGCUUGCUGCUUUGCUGACGAGUGGCGGACGGGUGAGUAAUGUCUGGGAAACUGCCUGAUGGAGGGGGAUAACUACUGGAAACGGUGGCUAAUACCGCAUAACGUCGCAAGACCAAAGAGGGGGAUCUUCGGGCCUCUUGCCAUCAGAUGUGCCCAGAUGGGAUU
Molecule: ribosomal RNA, 245 nt
Filed under: Salmonella enterica
Lineage: Bacteria; Pseudomonadati; Pseudomonadota; Gammaproteobacteria; Enterobacterales; Enterobacteriaceae
Description: partial 16S ribosomal RNA
Rfam family: Bacterial small subunit ribosomal RNA
Source: RNAcentral